Molecule: long non-coding RNA, 202 nt
Organism: Lacerta agilis (Sand lizard)
Lineage: Eukaryota; Metazoa; Chordata; Lepidosauria; Squamata; Lacertidae
Exons: 2
Source: RefSeq, a predicted model, not a curated record
UGAAGAUCUACAUCAAAAAGAAGGGGGAAAUCAAGAUCUACAUUGGGAUCUUCUGCUCAUGUGGAUCCUGCCACCUGAGGUGAUCACUUCACGUUGUCUCAUGUGUGGGCCGGCCCUGCAUCCAGCUCAAUACUGGGUACCUCAGGAGGCUGCCAUAUUGUCAAGUAACUGCAGCAAGGAACAGACUUGGAUUCUUUAUUUU